RNAcentral lists this long non-coding RNA (6661 nucleotides) under Homo sapiens (human). Its description in RNAcentral is "HSALNT0004270". The record is from RNAcentral. Lineage: Eukaryota; Metazoa; Chordata; Mammalia; Primates; Hominidae.
CCAGCAAAGAGGAUAAAAGAGACUACACCUGGACAAACCCUCCCAGGCCCAGGCCUGAGCCUCACAUGUGGCCCCGGGGAAGGCAUCAGGGACUCCCUUUGCCCUCCCACUGACCUCCCUGCAAACCUCCCCCAAACCAAGGGGCAUCCUCAGCUGGCCAGACCCUGGGGGAAGGGAGAGAGCCGAGGAUCACCGGCACCUGUGGCUGGGUUACCCCUGCCAUGGACCACUGGGUGAUCAAGAAGUCAUUCCAAAAUGUGAAGCGUUCUGAAGAUAUGCACAUAGCGUAAGAACCUGGUGUAAUGUGCUGGUCAAGGCGGUCUCAGAGAGGAGAUGACGUUUGAGCUGACACCUGAGGGAUGAGAAGAAAGCAGCCAUUCCCAGGGCCCAGGGGAGGCAUCCCAGGAAGCCGGAUCAGCAUGAGCAAAAGCCCUGAGGCCUGGCACAAGUUGGUCUGCUUGAGAAGCAGGAGAGAGCCCUGAGCAUCCGGAGUGCAGCAAGCGAGGUGCACAGAGGAGCAGGAAGGGGCUGGGAGAAGGCUGGGGCCGGAUCAUGCAGGACAGGCUGGAGGAAGGGGCUUGAAUUGUCUUCUGACCACUGAGGGGAUAUAAACAUGAGGGCAAAAUCAUCUGAUUUCCAUGUGCAAAGGCCCAGGGUACGUGCCGUGUAUGGUAGAUAGCAUGCUACCAAAUACACUCACAGGUAGCCCUAUUAUCUCCAUUUCACAGAUGAGCAAGUCAAGAUGCAGAAGGACUCUCUGGCUUGUCCAAGGUCACACGGCUGUUAGGAGCAGAGCAGCGUCCUGGUGCCCAAGCCCUGAGGUCCCCAGCACACUGCCUCUGCAAUGGCCACAACUGUCCAAAGACUAAGCUGACUCUCACACCUGGUAGUGUCUGUGGUCAUUCACUGUGGAUGGAAGUGGAGAAAUGCAGAAAACAGAAACACAGCUUCCCCUUUUCUGUCAUAUUUCUGUAUCGUUGGUGUUUGGAGCCAGUUGAGCACAAAGGGCCCCUGAGUGCUGUUUCCUUGUGAUAUUUGGGGGUUAACAGCUUCCCCUCAUCUCUUAAUUACCUGCCCUCCUUCACUUCAGCUGCACAUUCGUUAAAGAAUGCUCUCCCAGGAGAAGAGCUUGGUGUUAUCACCCACAAACAUCUUAGAAAACUAAUGCUAUCCUUGAGUGCCUGUUUACAGAAACAUUUUUACAUCUCACUUGACAUUUCCAGCAAAUCUUGAUCCUUCCAGCCAGGAAUAUUAAUAUAUAGGUCUUGAAAAGUGCAAGAGGCUCUUCCAUGGCUCCAAGCACAUUUGACACUCUUCCUUUUCUGAUCCCCAAGCAGACAGUGAUGAAACCCCAAUAGCUGGGCGAAUACUCAUCCAACAGGAAGAAUCAGUUUUAAGAGCUGGGUUCUCAGGGUCAAAUACUGUGGUGUGGCCUUUUGGUUGUAAUGAGUUGAAUGGAGGUCUCAAAAAAGAUAUAUCCAUGUUCUAAUCCCCAGAACUUGUGAAUGUGACCUUAUUUGGAAAAAGAGUCCUUUUGGAUGUAAUUAAGUUAAGGAUUUUGAGAUAAGGAGAUCAUCCUGGGUUAUCUGGGUGGACCCUAAAUCUGUUGACAAUGUCCUUAUGAGAGACCCCAGAGGGCACAGACAGGAAAGGAAGAGGCAAUGUGGCCCCAGAGGCUGAGAUCAGAGCUCUGUGGCCACAAUUCGAGGAACACCUGGAGCCACCAGAAGCUGGAGGAGGCAAGGAACAGAUUCUCCCUGAUCCUCUGGAUACAGAGGGAGAAUAGCCUGGCCGACACCUUGAUUUUGGACUUCUGGCCCCCAGAACUGAGAAAAUUAACUUCUGUUGUGUUAAGCAGCCACGUUUGUAGCAGUUCAUCAUAGCAGCCCUGGGAAAGAAAUACAGUGGGCUUCCAGUUCAAGGAGGAUCCACGAGGCCUGAGCUCCAUCUGUCGAUUGGAAUCACCAAAAUCAAGGUUGUGUGCGGGUAACGCCAGCACAAGCAGCUCAUGCUGGCAAAAGCAGACCAAACCGGCUCACGCAACGUCAAGUCAUCUUGAAGUGGUUCACGCACCACAGUGAGUGGUAUUGAUUGUGGUUAAGAGCCAGGUUCAAGGAGGUUUAUCACUCAGUAGCCAGGUAAAGCAGGUUCCAGGCCUGGCUCCACCACUCAACAACCGGGGAAACAGGGUUCCCCUAGGGCAGCAGAGGAAGCAAGGUGGGGGGAAGCCAGUGGUCAAGGAUUCCAUGCGGAAUGUACCCUAGAAUUAACCCAUGGAGAGAGGGUAAGGGAACGGGCUCAGGCCUGGGAAGAAGUGGGGAGGACAGUGUCCUGUUGACCUAUUCAAAAACAUCCAGUUUUAGUUAAUUUUUAGUUCAUUAGUCACCACUUUUUAUUAGUAUCUCAUGUAUUCUUUCACAGUUUCUUUCUGCAGGUACAAAAAUAAUGAUUUUUUUUCUUUCUUUUUCUUCUUUGAGACAGGGUCUCGCUCUGUUGCCCAGGCUGUAGUACAAUGGUGCAAUCUCGGCUCACUGCAACCUCUGCCUCUGGGUUCAAGCGAUCCUUUGCCUCCGCCUCCUGAGUAGCUGGAAUUACAGGCAUGCACCAUGAUGCUUGGUUAAUUUUUGUAUUUUUAGUAGAGUCAGGGUUUUGCUAUGUUGGCCAGGCUGGGCUCCAACUUCUGGUCUCAAGUGAUCCACCCGCCUCGGGCUCCCAAAGUGCCAGGAUUACAGGCGUGAGCCACUAUGCCUGGCCAAAAGUGGCGAUGUGUUCUUAAUGCCCAUUUUCACAUAAAAGGUAAUAAUCUACCCACACCAUGCUGUACCUUGUUUGUUUUUUGUGUGUUUGUUUGUUUGUUUUUUGACAGAGUCUUGCUCUGUCAGCUAGGCUAGAGUGCAGUGGCACAAUCUCAGCGCGCUGCAACCUCCGCCUCCCGGGUUCAAGCGAUUAUCCUGCCUCAGCCUGCUGGGUAGUUGGAAUUACAGGAGCCUGCCACCAUGCCCAGCUAAUUUUUGUGCUUUUAAUAGAGAUGGGGUUUCACCAUGUUGGCCAGGCUGGUCUCGAACUCCUGACCUCAAGUGAUCCAUCCACCUUGGCCUCCCGAAGUGCUGGGAUUACAGGCGUGACCCACCGCGCCUGGCUCUUGUUUGUUUUUUUAACUAAUCACACAUCUUAGAGACCUUUAUCAGUAAUUAGAGAGCUUCCUGGAUCUUUUAUAUCACUGCAUAAUAAAUAUUCUAUUAUAUAGAUUAGAAUAAUUCAAAUUACCAGUUCCCUAUUGGUGGACAUUUGUUUCUGGUUUGUUUGUUUUUUCUAUUUUUUUUCUUAUCACAAACAGUGCUGCAAUAAGUAAUUGUGCAUAUGCACUGUUUCACAUGUGUGCAGGUAUACCUGCAGGAUAAAUUCCCAAAAAUGAAUUCCUGAUUUAAGAGUAUCUUUUUUUUUUUGAGACAGGGUCUUGAUCUGUUGCCCAGGCUAAAGUGCAGUGGCAUGAUCACGAUGCACUGCAGCCUCAGCCUCCUGGGCUCAAGCGAUCUUCCCACCUCAGCUUCCCAAGUAGCUGGGACUACAGGCAUGUGGCACCACGGCUGGUUAAUAUUCUCAGUGUAACAGAGUUUCAUCACAUUGCCCAGGCUGGUCUUGAACUCCUGGGCUCAAGCAAUCCUCCCACCUCAGCAUCCCAAAGUGCUGGGAUCACAGGCAUGUGCCACCAUGCCUGGCAGGUUGAAAGUACUGUAUGAGUUAUCUAUUGCUGCAUACCAGAUUAUCAUAAACUCAGCAGUUUAAAAAAACACCCAUUGUUUAGCUCACAGUCUCACCUGAACUGGGUGCUGAGUUCAGGGUGAAACCAAGGUGGCGGCCAGGCUUGGUUCUUUUUUGGAAGCUCUGGGGGGAAAAUCUACUUCCAAGGCCAUUCUUGUUGUUGGCAGAAUCUGGAUCCUUGUGGUUGUAGAACUGAGUCUCUGGUUUCUUGCAGGCUUCCAGGAGGGGCCUCCCUGGGCUCCCGGAGGACACCCACAGUCCUCACCAUGCAGCUCCCUCCAACAUCAAGCCAGGAAUGGCCGAACAGAUCUUUCUCAUGCUUCAAAUCUCUGAUGAAUUUCUCUUGCCAGAGAAAGCUUGCCAUUUUCCAAGGGCUCACCCAGUCAGAUCCGUCCAACAAGGGUGAUCUCCCUAACAUUAGGUUAACUGACUUGGAACCUCAGUUAAUCUGCAAAAUCCCUUUUGUCAUAUAAUGGAAUACAAUCAUUUGGUUCACAUGCUCAUCUUAUUCACAGGCCCUACACUCAUACAAGGGCAGGGGACCACAGAAGAGUGAAGGCCAGUGAGGGUCACCUCAGAAUUCUGCCCAACACCGGUGUUUUGUAAUUUGGGUAGAUGUUGCCAUGUUGUCCUCCGUGGGGAUUAUGCAGAGGGAACUCUCCUCCUCCAGCAACAGUACAUGUACCUGCUUUUCCAUGGUGCUGCUUAGAGAAUGUUAUCAAACCUUUGGAUUUCUGCCAGUCUGAUAGGAGAAAAAUGGAAUCUCAAUUGUAUUUUAAAAUUGUAAUUAUCGCCUUAUGAAUAAGGCUGAGCAUUUCCUCAAAAGCAUAAGAGCCAUUUAUAUACUUUUUUCUUUAUGGCUUCUGGUUUUGAGGCAUAGAAAGGUCUUUCUAGCUCUAAAGUUAAUCAGAAAUUCUCUGUUUUCUUUUUGCUUUUUUUAAAAUUUUACUUUAAGUCCUUGGAUACAUGUGCUGAACGUGCAGGUUUGUUACAUAGGUAUACAUGGGCCAUGGUGGUUUGCUGCACCUAUCAACCCGUCAUCUAGGUUUUAAGCUCCACAUGCAUUAGGUAUUUGUCCUAAUGCUCUUCCUCCUCUUUCCCCAUGCCCCCAACAGGCCCCGGUGUGUGAUGUUCCCCUCCCUGUGUCCAUGUGUUCUCAUUGUUUAGCUCCCACUUAUGAGUGAGAACAUGCAGUGUUUGGUUUUCUGUUCCUGUGUUAGUUUGCUGAGGAUGAUGGUUUUCAGCUUCAUCCAGGUCCCUGCAAAGGACAUGAACUCAUUCUUUUUUAUGGCUGCAUAGUAUUCCAAGUUGCAUAUGUGCCACAUUUUCUUUAUCCAGUGUAUCAUUGAUGGGCUUUUGGGUUGCUUCCAAGUCUUUGCUAUCGUAAGUAGUGCUGCAAUAAACAAAUGUAUGCAUGUGUCUUUAUAGUAGAAUGAUUUAUAAUCCUUUGGGUAUAUACCCAGUAAUGGGAUUGCUGGGUCAAAUGGUAUUUCUAGUUCUAGAUCCUCGAGGAGUCGCCACACUGUCUUCCACAAUGGUUGAGCUAAUUUACACUCCCACCAACAGUGUAAACGUGUUCCUAUUUCUCCACAUCCUCACCAGCAUUUGUUAUUUCCAGACUUUUUAAUGAUUGCCAUUCUAACUGGCAUGAGAUGGUAUCUCCUUGUGGUUUUGAUUUGCAUUUCUCAGCUCAUUGCAACCUCUGCCUCCCAGGUUCAAGCAAUUCUCCUGCCUCAGCCUCCAGAGUAGCUGGGAUUACAGGGGCACGCCACCAAGCCCAGCUAAUUUUUGUAUUUUUAGCAGAAACAGGGCUUCACCAUGUUGGCCAGUCUGGUCUCAAACUCCUGAUCUCAAGUGAUCCAUCCACCUCAGCCUCCCAAAGUGCUGGGAUUAUAGGCGUGAGCCACCACGGCUGGCCAUUCUCCUGUGUUUUCUUCUGGGGCUUUUAUACUUUCAUUUUUUAAAAUCCAUAGUUUCUUGGAGCUGGAGGUGUCCCUUGUCAUUUUCUCAUCAGUGAGUGCAAAGCAGGAUCCCAAAAGGAUUGGAGUCCAGAGUAGAGAAAGGAGCUGCCGCGGUGGAGUCUGUUCAGUGCAGGCUCUGAUCUCCUUCAGCCCUGCCAGGAAUCCCAGCCAGCAGAUCUUCUUCCAGCUUCCCUUUCUCCAGCACUCUUGAUCUUCUGGGCUGGCACAGGGUCCAGGGUUGAUGGGGAUCCUAGCUGCCUGAGGAGCUUCCAGUCUGGAGGGUGAUACAAGCACAUGGCCAGACCUGAAUUCAAGCCAUGAGAGAGAUUCAGAACCUGGGCUGGGAGCGCAGGGGAGGGAGCGGGGUGCUGAUGGGGGUGGAUGGGAGGCUCCAGAGAGGAGGUGGCGUCUGAACUGAACCUUAAGAAUGAGGGGAAAUGUAAUGGCAGCGAUGAGAAAGGGGAGGCACUUCAGUGCAGAGAACAGCAAGAGCAAAGACAAGGAGGUGGAAAAUCAGCCAGAAACCUAGCCUGGAGAGGGUUUAGUGGACCAUGGGUCCUUGAUGGUAGAGACACAACAUGACUUAUCUCUGUGUCCCAUCCUCUGUGCCAGAGGCGGCAUCGACCAGACUUGGACAAAUGAAGCAGAAGGGACAGGGGACUUAGAAUACUAGGCUGCAUCAUUUUCUUUUUACUCUGACAGUGAGAAGCAAAGACCUCCACAAAGAAAGAAGCCCUUGGCUGUGUCAUCAUUUUAGAAUCUGGGCACUCUCUGCACACCACUGCCCCCUCAUGGCUGAUCUAGGAAUUCUCUCUAAAUCCCAGACUGAAGGUGAGGAGGAGGCUCAGUGAGUCUUAGAGAUUUGAAAAGCCGUGAAAUCCUGGUUGGAGAACAUCUGAGUCCAAAGGGCCCUCAGAGACUCUCUGACUUCCUCAUUA